CCUCUGGUGGAAAAAAGCUCCAAAAACAUUUUCUGAAGAAACCCCUUCUUUAUAAAUACAGAAAAAUAAUUUUGUCAAAAUUAAGUAAAAACCAUGUAGCAGGUACAAUGAUGUUUUCAGCCACUAGAAAUUCUGGUCUGGAACUACAGUAGAAAGAGGGAAGCUAAUACAACACUUUCUGCUGACCUGCAUCACUCUCUGUGUAAAACUCACGCUGGAAAACUGGAAAGAGAAGAACUUAAUUUCCAGCAACUCGGAAAGUGCUUGAUCAGUACAAACCCAGCUUUAUCACAGCGUUCAGUAUGACCUGAACUAUUUUUCCGAAGUCAUUGUUCAUAUACUGGCAUCUUCCUAAGGCUUUAGAAGCACAUUUGAAGGGUAAAUAGGAAGCUCUGAACAUUCAGAACAUUUGUGUGUGUCCUAUGAAAGGUGUUGUCCAACAAACAAACAUCUCCCUUAUCCAUAGUUAAAAUGGAUUGCUAUUGUAACAACAAAGAAAGGUUGUCACAGGAUUUCUCAGAAGGCAGCAGAGGGGUCAGGAAGAAGGAUGGUUGUCUGACCGUGUACUGUAGGUGGCACCACUUCUACACAAUAAUAGAAAUCUGCAGUUCCUUGGUAAACAUCUUUGUCAGCAGGAACCAAGAUGCUCCCAGCCUGUAGGACCUGGCACGCAGUGGCAAGAUUUAUGAAAUCUGUCUUCAACCAAAUACUAUUUCUCGACAAAAGCUUCAUAUUCCAUAGUGAGAGACUCCAUUUGCAGAAUCAAGCUUAAU
This is a long non-coding RNA of Pipra filicauda (Wire-tailed manakin), 773 nucleotides long. RefSeq lists it as uncharacterized. The record is from RefSeq and is a predicted model, not a curated record. The transcript is spliced from 6 exons. Lineage: Eukaryota; Metazoa; Chordata; Aves; Passeriformes; Pipridae.